RNAcentral lists this ribosomal RNA (253 nucleotides) under uncultured bacterium. Its description in RNAcentral is "partial 16S ribosomal RNA". It matches the Rfam family "Bacterial small subunit ribosomal RNA", at positions 524 to 776 of the family's 1533-position model. The record is from RNAcentral.
UACGUAGGCAGCGAGCGUUGUUCGGAGUUACUGGGCGUAAAGGGUGUGUAGGCGGUUGUUUAAGGUUGGUGUGAAAUCUCCCGGCUCAACUGGGAGGGUGCGCCGAAUACUGAGCGACUAGAGCGCGGGAGAGGAAAGUGGAAUUCCUGGUGUAGCGGUGAAAUGCGUAGAUAUCAGGAGGAACACCGGUGGUGUAGACGGCUUUCUGGACCGUAACUGACGCUGAGACACGAAAGCGUGGGUAGCAAACAGG